Molecule: ribosomal RNA, 253 nt
Filed under: uncultured bacterium
Lineage: Bacteria
Description: partial 16S ribosomal RNA
Rfam family: Bacterial small subunit ribosomal RNA
Source: RNAcentral
GACGUAGGGGGCCAGCGUUGCUCGGAAUUACUGGGUGUAAAGGGUUCGUAGGCGGUGUGGCAAGUCGGGAGUGAAAUCUCUGGGCUCAACCCAGAGUCUGCUUCCGAAACUGCCGUGCUUGAGUGUGGGAGAGGCGCGUGGAAUUGCAGGUGUAGCGGUGAAAUGCGUAGAUAUCUGCAGGAACACCCGUGGCGAAAGCGGCGCGCUGGACCACUACUGACGCUGAGGAACGAAAGCGAGGGGAGCAAACAGG